AACUAGAAAAAUUGCAUUUCCUUGCAGAAAAUGCGUGGAAAUGCUGAGUGCUGAAAGCUGAAAAAGCAAUGCUAAACUGCUAAUAAAACAUGGAGAAAGGUAUAAAUGUUAAAGCUGUUGAAGGGGUGAAAAAGAAAUAUAAGUUGGAUAAUUGAUUAAUUGGUUGAAGGACAAAUAGUAUGAAUAUGCUCUAUAAAAGGAAAUUUUAUUCAUGCUGAAAGAGGCUAGAAAAAUGUCGAAAAUUGCAUAAAGUUUGAAUGAAGAAGGAAAUUGCCUUAAAAGGCAGGAAGGUGAGAAGUGGCAUAAGUUUAAAUUGUAGUACUAGAAGUAGUAUGAUAAGAAUUCAAGUCGUGAUACUAGUAGUCAUGUCAGCAGUAGAAGUAGAUUGAGAAUAAAAGAAGUAUAAGUCAAAGUAGUAAAGAAAGUAGAAAUAGGAGCAAUAGCAGUUGAAG
Molecule: non-coding RNA, 452 nt
Organism: Xyrichtys novacula (pearly razorfish)
Lineage: Eukaryota; Metazoa; Chordata; Actinopteri; Labriformes; Labridae
Source: the annotation of a GenBank genome assembly